ACCAAGAACCACACAGAAAAGGGAGGCAAAGGGGCCUACAGGGCUAGUAGCUUAUACGUUGUUGAACGUCCUGCCUGGACCCGGAGCCGCCCCCAUCUAAACCCUCUGCGUACCUGUCCCUUCUUGCUUCCCCCGGCAUCUCGUCGGGGGGAGGUAACAACCAAAACUCUCUGUGAAUCAAACAGCCGUCAGAAUUAUAAAACAAACAAAAGUUAAAACUUUCAACAACGGAUCUCUUGGUUCCCACAUCGAUGAAGAACGCAGCGAAAUGCGAUAAGUAAUGUGAAUUGCAGAAUUCAGUGAAUCAUCGAAUCUUUGAACGCACAUUGCGCCCCCUGGUAUUCCGGGGGGCAUGCCUGUUCGAGCGUCAUAAAAACCUCCUCCCCCUUCGGGUUUUGUUACUAUCGUUGGGGGGUUUUGGCCUAAUGGGAUAGCGAUUGGCAAUUCGUUUCCCAAUGUCCUAAAUAGACGUAGACCCGCCUCCAGAUGCGACAGCACCGAGGCCAUCAACCGUGGAGUUAUGGGAUAUAAUAGGCUUGCAGUAAAAUGCUCACCUCUCUCCACACGCCGAUGGCACGACAGUUGCAGUUGCGGGCGUAAAUUGGAGCCCUUUUCAGGACCCUUGUGGCCUAGCAUCCACCAUACAUAAUU
RNAcentral lists this ribosomal RNA (651 nucleotides) under Morchella sp. Mel-17/19/20/34. RNAcentral describes it as "eukaryotic LSU rRNA". The stretch from base 217 to 370 matches the Rfam family "5.8S ribosomal RNA". Lineage: Eukaryota; Fungi; Ascomycota; Pezizomycetes; Pezizales; Morchellaceae. The record is from RNAcentral.